RNAcentral lists this transfer RNA (67 nucleotides) under Ceraclea indistincta. RNAcentral describes it as "tRNA-Leu". Lineage: Eukaryota; Metazoa; Arthropoda; Insecta; Trichoptera; Leptoceridae. The record is from RNAcentral.
AUUAUUUUGUCAGAUUUAUGAGUUAAAUUUAGAAUUUAAUUAAAUGUAAUUAAUUACAUAAAUAAUA